GUCUUGGAAGCUAGAAACAAGUUCAUAUAUAAGAUUCGUAGGUGGUGGUCUACGUCUCUUAUUUCUACGAGUGCUCAUUUUCCUGAUCUGGAGCUAUGGUAUUAUCUUUGGUUUCAUUAUAUUUUCCUUCCCUGAUUUUUAUUGAUGCUUGGCGAUGUUAUGGGAUGGGACCUCCAUGUGCCAGUAUUUUUAGCCGAUCAGUAUGUGGUGCUGAAAAAUUAAUCUCUACAUAAUGACGUUUUCACAUCCAACUCCAAGCAAUGUAAGAAACCUAUCAUUUGACUAGCUGUAUGGUACAUCUCAUACAGUUUCUAAUACUGUUGUCCCUAUUAGUUGGAUACUCCAAAGGGCAAAGUUAAUGUUUUGUUCAUCGCUUUUGUACCCGUUUCUUCAUGUUUCUUCAUUUUGGCAGUGACCUGGGUUUCCAUGUACUUGAUAGAUACUUUCCUUAUGCUAUGUGUUUCUGUAUGUAUAUAUGUUUCUGGCCAUAAAUAUAUACCUGGCUCCAACUUUUACUGCUUUCCGUGGAACUUUGACAAGUACCCUUUAAUCCACUAAUUCUGGACCUAUUAGUUUGGGCACUGAAAACUUUGAAUAGUACCCUUGAAUUAGAGGAUUAAACUAACAGGUCUGAAAUCCUGAAGCCCAUAUGAAUCAGUUUUCAGUUUAAAUGAAUGGUGUUAUAGGAGAAGCUAAUCUGAAUGUUUGCACAGGAUUACUUCACUUGACGUACAUUAUCUGGAUCCUUGGCCACUUUUAUGCAAAAGCCUUCGAUCUCUUACUCCACUAUGGAGUUUGAUUGAGAAGUUUGGGCCUUUGGUCUUCUGUUACCUGAAACUUUAAAUCUGACUACAAAGCCUCAAAGGUCAAACCUCAAUUCAUGUAAAAAUCGGCAAAAGUUUAGAGGAUUUGGCUCCACAUUUUUUGAUCUUGUUAGUACUUUCACCUUGCUAAUUCAAAAUGUGUGAAUCCUGAUGCUAACUCUGUAGAGUAGGAGAAACUACCACAAGUCAAGGUGAGACCCAUGCCUAAAAAGGGGAAAUCACUCUGGAGUUUGCUCAAGAACAAGGCUAGACCCGAAUCUUGUUUACUCACUGUAUUUACUAUCUAUAAAGUUGUAUGUUUAUUUUCUUUGCAAACAAGUGUUGGAAUAUUGGCUUCUCAUAACUAUGUACAGUAACUUAAGUAUAUUCCCAGGAGACUAUGUGAUCAGCAAUCAUACAAAGUAAUUAAAUGAUGUGUUUUCUUUCAAAUAGAUAGACAAAAGGUGGACCGAUGGCUUCUUGCCACAUCCAUGGCUAUUGCUGGAAGUUGAUUGGAGAUCUUCACGUCCAGAAAUGCUAGUUUUGUAGAUUAGGCAAGUGUAUUCUUCAUUUUCUGCUGCUGUGUGCACAGAGCACAUGUGAAUUCUGCCUGCAUUCAAUUUCAUAAAUUAAUUGAGCAUUCUAAUAAUUGAGACUUGUUUAACUUUUGUAUAGGAAGCAAACAUAAGGACUCGACUCACAAUGAACCAUGAAGCCAGCGAUCUGCAUCAAAUGGAUGUUUUAGUUUUCAUUUUGUACAACUGAUGUCUCAUAGUUGCAGUCUUUUCGCUGUCCUUUGUUGAACCUGAUGUAUGGUGUCUUGGUGGUUAUGUUUGGAACAGACUGAAGUGUAUG
RNAcentral lists this long non-coding RNA (1658 nucleotides) under Triticum aestivum (bread wheat). RNAcentral's name for it is "long non-coding RNA (TAES_LNC000168)". The record is from RNAcentral. Lineage: Eukaryota; Viridiplantae; Streptophyta; Magnoliopsida; Poales; Poaceae.